This 425-nucleotide ribosomal RNA is filed under the name uncultured bacterium. RNAcentral's name for it is "partial 16S ribosomal RNA". It matches the Rfam family "Bacterial small subunit ribosomal RNA", at positions 354 to 796 of the family's 1533-position model. The record is from RNAcentral.
GUGGGGAAUAUUGGGCAAUGGGCGAAAGCCUGACCCAGCAACGCCGCGUGAAGGAAGAAGGUCUUCGGAUCGUAAACUUCUAUCCUUGGUGAAGAUAAUGACGGUAGCCGAGAAGGAAGCCCCGGCUAACUACGUGCCAGCAGCCGCGGUAAUACGUAGGGGGCAAGCGUUGUCCGGAAUGAUUGGGCGUAAAGGGCGCGUAGGCGGCCUGGUAAGUCUGGAGUGAAAGUCCUGCUUUUAAGGUGGGAAUUGCUUUGGAUACUGUUGGGCGUGAGUGCAUGAGAGGUAAGUGGAAUUCCCGGUGUAGCGGUGAAAUGCGUAGAGAUAGGGAGGAAUACCAGUGGCGAAGGCGACUUACUGGACUGUAACUGACGCUGAGGCGCGAAAGUGUGGGGAGCAAACAGGAUUAGAUACCCGAGUAGUCC